CAACAAACAGAUUGGAAAAAGGAAGAUAAGUACAUCAUUUUCUUAUAGACUAUCUCAUAAAUUUUAAUGUACACAUACUCUACCUGUAAUAAUGAAAAUAACAUGAUGUCACUGAAUGUAAAAGAUAUCCAUAUCUUAUUUGACCAAUAAAAUGUUUUUUUAUUCCGGAUCUCUAAAGAGUAGAUUCGUACUUCGUCUCCAGCAGUAUUGUUGAAACGUUCGUACCACACUACGUUUCCAUAGUAUUACUUCAGAAAUUUUGUGAACACUGGCAGUAAGAGAAAGAGAUACAAUAUACAUCUUUCAUGAUUAAAAUAUUUACAAUUUCGUUCACUAAUAACAUUAAUGUUAUAUCAACUAUAUGUGUAUAUAUACACAUAUAUAUAUAUUAUUUAGUGUUUCAGAAGAAUGAAAGACGCACAAGCACUGUAUUUGAUAUUUCUUAUUACAAAGUAUUUAAAAAGUAUCUACUAUUCUUGGGACAGUUUCCAAAUCAAUCGCGAUGGAGCAGUAAAUUUAAUGUAACCGUGAUGACAGGCAGUCUAUUGACAUUCUAUUUUCCAGCAUUUGCACAAAUUUUUACGUCAUUGUACGAAAAAGAUAUGGGAGGGAUGUUGGAAGGCAUGCCUGUAGUGGCUUCGGUAUCAGCUGUCUUAAUAAAAUUGCUAAAUCAUGAAAUUUACAAGAAAAAUGUAUAUAAAUUUAUGAAAACGAAUUCUGUGGUAAAAAUGAAAAUCACUAAAUACAA
Long non-coding RNA from Bombus pascuorum, 748 nucleotides. RefSeq lists it as uncharacterized. The transcript has 2 exons. Lineage: Eukaryota; Metazoa; Arthropoda; Insecta; Hymenoptera; Apidae. The record is from RefSeq and is a predicted model, not a curated record.